Molecule: ribosomal RNA, 361 nt
Filed under: Echinosquilla guerinii
Lineage: Eukaryota; Metazoa; Arthropoda; Malacostraca; Stomatopoda; Protosquillidae
Description: eukaryotic LSU rRNA
Rfam family: Eukaryotic large subunit ribosomal RNA
Source: RNAcentral
UCCUUGCUCGGCCGGAAGCGGCGGCGGCUCGACCGCCAGCUCGCUCGCGCGCGCAGUCUAUGCGGCCGGAAGGUUUUGGGCGAAAGGGAAUCCGGUUCUUAUUCCGGAACCUCCACCCGGAGAAGGUCUUACCCCUCGCCUAAAGUUGGUACUCCUGGUGACGGGAGGAAACCUGCUGCUGCCGGCCGCGGCCCAGGGAAGAGUUUUCUUUUCUGCUUAAGAGGUCUUGGCCCUGGAAGCAACUUGCAAGGCGAGAGGGCCUUAUAAAACCCGUAGAGCGUCGCAGUUCUUGCGGCGUCCUGAGUGCCGCGAUCUUUUGCCGGUCCCUGAAGCAGCAGGGGAAGGGGUCAAAUUUUCGGGG